CUUAGCUGUUGCCAUACCAGAUGCUGUGGAAGUCUGACUGCCUUCUGACUGUAUGAAAAAAGAUCUUAGAAAGAUCAGCCCAACAGGCGGCAAGAUGACCUCUGCAGUUGACAAGUGACCUCAGCAGAAGUUGGUCUUCUUUGGUCAUUUUUGCAUGAACAUCUGCAUUGCUUAUGUGUGUAGUCUACCUGUUACGUUGGGUCCCCACUUCGAGCAAGGACUGAUGACCUCUGAGGCAGAGAAGUCAGAGGACAUCAGAGGGAAACCCAAAAAAUAUGAUGCACUUUCACCACUGAAACCAAUCACUGAAACCCAGCAUCCUUCUUGUCUUUUCCAUUUUCUUCCACAAGUGGAUUUCCUUUCAACUGCGGAGGUGCUUCUUGCGGAGGUCUGCCAUUAUGUCUGCAUCCACAUCCCUCUGGAUUAUCCUGGCAAAAACAUUUUUUCACCUGUCAUUUAAUGCAAUAAAGGACGUACAUCAUGAAUUGUA
Molecule: long non-coding RNA, 490 nt
Organism: Micropterus salmoides (largemouth bass)
Lineage: Eukaryota; Metazoa; Chordata; Actinopteri; Centrarchiformes; Centrarchidae
Exons: 2
Source: RefSeq, a predicted model, not a curated record